AAACGAGAAUUUUUAGAAAAAGCGUUUUCUAGUGAUUACUUUCACAAAAGUGAUGAACAUCUUAAAAUGAUUGGUGUUUAUUCUAUUGAUUCCUUGCUUGGUAAAUAUAAGAUUGAUGAAAAAGGGACUGUAGAAGAGUCAACUUUAGUUAGAAGGCGUCCCAAUAAUUCAGAGGGUGAAAAUUUUGUUGAGAAAAUUGAUAAAAGUGGGUUUGAAGAGGUCAAAACUUUAGCUAGUGAUGUGCCCAGUCUUUUGAUUUACAAAGACUUUAAUUAUCAUAGUUGCUCUUUGAUUGAUUGUAUUUCUUUGUUG
Molecule: ribosomal RNA, 312 nt
Filed under: Triticum aestivum (bread wheat)
Lineage: Eukaryota; Viridiplantae; Streptophyta; Magnoliopsida; Poales; Poaceae
Description: partial small subunit ribosomal RNA
Source: RNAcentral